Molecule: non-coding RNA, 113 nt
Filed under: human gut metagenome
Description: FMN riboswitch (RFN element)
Rfam family: FMN riboswitch aptamer (RFN element)
About the family: The RFN element is a highly conserved domain that is found frequently in the 5'-untranslated regions of prokaryotic mRNAs that encode for flavin mononucleotide (FMN) biosynthesis and transport proteins. This element is a metabolite-dependent riboswitch that directly binds FMN in the absence of proteins. In Bacillus subtilis, the riboswitch most likely controls gene expression by causing premature transcription termination within the 5' untranslated region of the ribDEAHT operon and precluding access to the ribosome-binding site of ypaA mRNA.
Source: RNAcentral
UGUCUUCGGGGCGGGGUGAAAGUCCCCACCGGCGGUAUAGUCCGCGAGCGCCCUCGGCGCAGGAAUCGGUGCAAUUCCGAUACCGACAGUUACAGUCUGGAUGAGAGAAGGCG